Triticum urartu is the source of this 1050-nucleotide non-coding RNA. The record is from RefSeq and is a predicted model, not a curated record. NCBI's taxonomy places the organism in Eukaryota, Viridiplantae, Streptophyta, Magnoliopsida, Poales, Poaceae.
CACAUGAAACGUAUGCCCUGUUGCAGCCUCGCAGGUACCCACAGCCGUCUCUCUCUCUUUUGAAUCGAUCCCCACAAAUUCCCAGCUUUAUUUCUGUGGAUUCUGUUUUAUCUAUGCUUGCUAUGUGUUUGACAAAAAUCCAAGGAGGCUGAGGCGAAGAUUUUGUGCUUAGGUUUUUACUCAAGUAUUUCAUCUUUUUCUGAAAUUUAGCUCCAAUGAACUGAAUUUUUUUGGGCAUCCCUUUUUCCCCUGUAGGUCAUUAUCAUCUCAUCUCACCACACUCAUGCCACAUAACCUGGCAAGCUCAUUCCUUACUCAUCUAUGUACCAGUUUUGUAGCUUUAUUCACUGAACUGAGAGAUGAUGUUUGCGCAGUUAGAUGUUGCUUGCUCGAUUUUGACUAUGCUAGCUGCAAUAAUCAAUCUAUUUGAUAUGGGCCCUAUAAGCUCUUUCGUUGAUCUUUGGUUACAAAUCCUGGAGCUGUUCUUGAUGUAUUGAGAGACAUUUGUUAGAACCCAUUAUCACCUUUUUUGGCUGUGGUUCAUCUUUGCCAUACGAUGUGUUAGUAAACUGACUGAGAAUGUUAGAUAAUCUUAUAUGGAUUUCGAUCUUGCAGCUGCAGCCGCGCGCUGUAUGUGGCGGGGGGUUACUUCUGUGCAGUAAUACCAUUUUGGAGUGUCCCGUGUUUGCAACUAUCCUUAUGUGUAGCCCCUGCAACAAGGCAUCAGAGAAAAUUAAAGGGACAAACAAAUUUUGCGUCCGAUGUGUUGUUCAGACGUUCAGGAGAAGUGGAUAAGAGGGUUACUCGAGGCUCCGUCCAUGAAUGGUGUGGGUCCAAUGCCUUAGGGUGGCAUGCCGCAAUGUUGGGGACCAGCGAGGAAGAUGGCUGGUGUACAUUCUUUGAAAUAAAGCUGAAGUAAGCCACUACUGAGCCUAGUUCGCAGACUAUCUUGGUGUUUCAGCAACAAUAGCUGAACAUGUUUGUUUUCUUUCUUUCAACUUCUUUCCAACAGUCAGUGGCACACAGAGAUGAUUUAUAUGUCAUCCUACA